RNAcentral lists this long non-coding RNA (461 nucleotides) under Mus spicilegus (steppe mouse). RNAcentral describes it as "lncRNA (ENSMSIG00000014301.1)". The record is from RNAcentral. Lineage: Eukaryota; Metazoa; Chordata; Mammalia; Rodentia; Muridae.
CUGGGAUCUCAUUGAAGUACAGACUCUAAUCAGCAGGUUGGGGGAAGGGCCUGAUAAUCUGUUUAUUUUCUGUUUCAUCACUGGAAGGACACCUAACUUUCAACUUACCUUCUGUGAUGCAGCCACAGUGUGUUGGAACCAGACUACAGCAUAAAGUCCCCCAACUCAACUGGAACUCUGAUCCUGCCAAAUGAGGUAGCUUUGCUGCCUGAUGACUGAGGAGUCUGUAUGCAGUCUUUUCACAUCUGCACUCUUUCUCCCAUGGAACCCCAAGCUGGGACUGUCCCUAAUGAGCCACCAAGGACCCCACAGAGACUCUAAGCUGAGUGCUGGAACCAGAAUGAGGUGGUUCCAGGUUGUGUCAAGUUGACAGUGCUAGCCAUCACAGAAGGUAAAUCAAAAGUUAGGUGUCCUUCCAGUGAUGAAACAGAAAAUAAACAGAUUAUCAAGCCCUUCCCCCA